Molecule: long non-coding RNA, 972 nt
Filed under: Salmo salar (Atlantic salmon)
Lineage: Eukaryota; Metazoa; Chordata; Actinopteri; Salmoniformes; Salmonidae
Description: lncRNA (ENSSSAG00000088689.1)
Source: RNAcentral
AUGAUAUGUAACAGGACUGGUGGUUAGUAGACUGGCAACGUUGAGUGCCGGAGGGAUGGAGCAGGACUAAGCGUGGCACAAAUGGUCUGAACACUUAUGUAAAUAAGGCCAGCAGAGGCGGAAGUAUUAUGACCUGAUGAGUGGCUUCUACACGGCCCAGACUGUGCCCGCAGGAAUGCCCUGACCGAGUGGUUUCAACCCCCAGCUCUCACAACCUGACAAGUUUCUGUGCAGUCUUCAGAUAUCUGGCAAAGGCUUUCCUCUGAGAUAUAGCUGGCUUGGCUGCCAGGAUACUGGCACAUCCCCGGGAGCAUCACCCCCUGCUCUGUGGACAUGAGCUUCAUUGAGCAGCCUCUAGACAUGCCCCCUCCUUACACCUCAGCUUCCUCCCUAGUAGGAGGAACCGCCUACACCCAUCGCUCCGGGACUCUAUUCUCACAACACUCGGGGCUACGCUGUUGCAAGACAGACAACUCUACCCAACAAAUCACGAGGCAGGCAAUGCCAGAACGUUACAAUUCGAAACCAAUGUUUGAAGGCAUAACCUUUGCAGUGGUUUUAGUGAAGGUAGUUGAUACAAACUAGCCACUUGCUAAAUGUACUCAUUAAAGGGCGACUGCACUUCCUGAUUUGGUCUCAUUUUUAUCAAUGCUCAUUAACCUCCCUGGGCGAGUGUCCCACCCUAGUCAACAGCCAGUGGAAUCGCGUGGCGCGAAAUACAAAUGCUAUAACUUCAAUUUCUCAAACAUGACUAUUUUACACCAUUUUAAAGACAAGACUCUCAUUAACCUGUUGGGGGUAGGGGGCAGUAUUUACACGGCCGGAUAAAAAACGUACCCGAUUUAAUCUGGUUAUUACUACUGCCCAGAAACUAGAAUAUGCAUAUAAUUAUUGGCUUUGGAUAGAAAACACCCUAAAGUUUCUAAAACUGUUUGAAUGGUAUCUGUGAGUAUAACAGAACUCAUAUGGCAG